AAAAAAACACUCACACCAGAACACUUGCGCAAUAAUAACGCUGACGACGCGGCGCGAGACGACAACCGCGGAUGGGGGGGGCGCGAGACACACGUCCUCUGCAGGUGGUCGUGGCCGGACUGCCGUGAGGAACGGAGCGAGACGCAACAUCAUUUUGUCUGGCUCGGGUGAAAAUUCGUUAUUUGGAGAUGGCGUUGUGGUAAAAAGAACAUCUCAGCUGAGGAGCCGCUGGUCUCAGCGACCAACAGGCCCCAGGUCAGUCCUUUGACCAUCCCUAGUGCCCGUCUGUCGCCUCCACCAGCGAACUCGAGAACAAUCGUUGCUACAGGUAUUUAUACCAAUGCUUAAAGGUGUGAAAGUCAGUGUCCACACCUCUGGGAGUGGUCUUCUGGUGAGUUCAAUGUAGCUCGGAUUUCGG
This is a long non-coding RNA of Gasterosteus aculeatus aculeatus (three-spined stickleback), 418 nucleotides long. The record is from Ensembl. Lineage: Eukaryota; Metazoa; Chordata; Actinopteri; Perciformes; Gasterosteidae.